RNAcentral lists this ribosomal RNA (238 nucleotides) under uncultured bacterium. RNAcentral's name for it is "partial 16S ribosomal RNA". It matches the Rfam family "Bacterial small subunit ribosomal RNA", at positions 96 to 334 of the family's 1533-position model. The record is from RNAcentral.
UGGCGGACGGGUGAGUAACGCGUGGAUAACCUGCCUCACACUGGGGGAUAACAGUUAGAAAUGACUGCUAAUACCGCAUAAGCGCACAGGGCCGCAUGGUCUGGUGUGAAAAACUCCGGUGGUGUAAGAUGGACCCGCGUCUGAUUAGGUAGUUGGUGGGGUAACGGCCCACCAAGCCGACGAUCAGUAGCCGACCUGAGUGGGUGACCGGCCACAUUGGGACUGAGACACGGCCCAA